RNAcentral lists this ribosomal RNA (497 nucleotides) under uncultured bacterium. RNAcentral describes it as "partial 16S ribosomal RNA". It matches the Rfam family "Bacterial small subunit ribosomal RNA", at positions 28 to 507 of the family's 1533-position model. The record is from RNAcentral.
GAUGAACGCUGGCGGCGUGCCUAAUACAUGCAAGUCGAGCGAACAGACGAGGAGCUUGCUCCUUUGACGUUAGCGGUGGACGGGUGAGUAACACGUGGGUAACCUACCUAUAAGACUGGGAUAACUUCGGGAAACCGGAGCUAAUACCGGAUAAUAUUUCGAACCGCAUGGUUCGAUAGUGAAAGAUGGCUUUGCUAUCACUUAUAGAUGGACCUGCGCCGUAUUAGCUAGUUGGUAAGGUAACGGCUUACCAAGGCAACGAUACGUAGCCGACCUGAGAGGGUGAUCGGCCACACUGGAACUGAGACACGGUCCAGACUCCUACGGGAGGCAGCAGUAGGGAAUCUUCCGCAAUGGGCGAAAGCCUGACGGAGCAACGCCGCGUGAGUGAUGAAGGUCUUCGGAUCGUAAAACUCUGUUAUUAGGGAAGAACAAACGUGUAAGUAACUGUGCACGUCUUGACGGUACCUAAUCAGAAAGCCACGGCUAACUACGUG